AUGGCGCCUGCCUUUCCAGCCCAUUACUCCCCAUCACCGGCCCAUCGUGCAGACCUCAGCUCACUGGGCUGGGGAGCUUUAUGUCACCGCAGCCCUCGGAAGUUAUCAGAGAUUUCACCUGAACCAAGUCCGCUGGAACCCCCAGGCAACGCGACUCCUCUCCUGCACCUGCAUCUGCUCCCAAGAGCUGACAACCAUCCACUUCUUGAGAUCCAGAAAAGAACCUGUUUCAACAAAUCAACCCCCUAGAUUCAUUUGCUUCAAUCCUCUUGUAAAACUAAUAAAAAUGCAAAGUAUUACCAUAAUUAAAGUUUUAAAAUUAUACCAAAA
RNAcentral lists this long non-coding RNA (330 nucleotides) under Homo sapiens (human). RNAcentral's name for it is "HSALNT0170205". The record is from RNAcentral. Lineage: Eukaryota; Metazoa; Chordata; Mammalia; Primates; Hominidae.